This is a long non-coding RNA of Clupea harengus (Atlantic herring), 302 nucleotides long. The record is from Ensembl. NCBI's taxonomy places the organism in Eukaryota, Metazoa, Chordata, Actinopteri, Clupeiformes, Clupeidae.
GAACAUUGGCAUACAUUUUUCGUGUGCUUUAGAGAAGUGUGACAGCCCUGGGCCUUCUUCCUGUUCCUGCAUCCUCUCUAGUGAGAGCUUCCCUGCCGAAGGACUCAGCCUAAGCGUCCUCAUUACAAUCCAGAGGGAGACGCUCAUUAAGGACGUGCUUUUGGAAAACUGCUCCGCUAUCAGAGGAGGGCCACCUUCUGUUUUGUGUAUGCAGUGCUUCUCUGCAGGGUGUGUGUGGUCUCUCUCAGGUGAUGCUUGCACCUGGAGGUCAGCCUCCACAGAGGACAAUGUGACCACACAGG